AGAGUUUGAUCAUGGCUCAGGAUGAACGCUAGCGGCAGGCCUAAUACAUGCAAGUCGAACGAUAGUGAGAAGCUUGCUUCUCACGAAAGUGGCGCACGGGUGCGUAACGCGUAUGCAACCUACCUUAAUCAGGGGGAUAGCCCGAAGAAAUUCGGAUUAACACCGCAUAAAAUCACAGUAUAGCAUUAUACAAUGAUCAAAUAUUUAUAGGAUUAAGAUGGGCAUGCGUGACAUUAGUUAGUUGGCGGGGUAACGGCCCACCAAGACCACGAUGUCUAGGGGAUCUGAGAGGAUGACCCCCCACACUGGUACUGAGACACGGACCAGACUCCUACGGGAGGCAGCAGUAAGGAAUAUUGGUCAAUGGAGGCAACUCUGAACCAGCCAUGCCGCGUGCAGGAAGACAGCCCUCUGGGUCGUAAACUGCUUUUAUUCGGGAAUAAACCUAUCUACGUGUAGAUAGCUGAAUGUACCGAAGGAAUAAGGAUCGGCUAACUCCGUGCCAGCAGCCGCGGUAAUACGGAGGAUCCAAGCGUUAUCCGGAUUUAUUGGGUUUAAAGGGUGCGUAGGCGGCUUAUUAAGUCAGGGGUGAAAGACGGUGGCUCAACCAUCGCAGUGCCUUUGAUACUGAUGAGCUUGAAUAUACUAGAGGUAGGCGGAAUGUGACAAGUAGCGGUGAAAUGCAUAGAUAUGUCACAGAACACCGAUUGCGAAGGCAGCUUACUAUGGUAUUAUUGACGCUGAGGCACGAAAGCGUGGGGAUCAAACAGGAUUAGAUACCCUGGUAGUCCACGCCCUAAACGAUGAAUACUCGCUGUAAGCGAUAUACCGUUAGCGGCUAACCGAAAGCGUUAAGUAUUCCACUGGGGAAGUACGCUUCGCAGAGUGAACUUAAAGGAUUGACGG
RNAcentral lists this ribosomal RNA (906 nucleotides) under uncultured bacterium. Its description in RNAcentral is "bacterial SSU rRNA". It matches the Rfam family "Bacterial small subunit ribosomal RNA", at positions 8 to 916 of the family's 1533-position model. The record is from RNAcentral.